RNAcentral lists this ribosomal RNA (470 nucleotides) under uncultured bacterium. RNAcentral describes it as "bacterial SSU rRNA". It matches the Rfam family "Bacterial small subunit ribosomal RNA", at positions 335 to 802 of the family's 1533-position model. The record is from RNAcentral.
ACUCCUACGGGAGGCAGCAGUGGGGAAUAUUGCACAAUGGGGAAACCCUGAUGCAGCCAUGCCGCGUGUGUGAAGAAGGCCUCGGUUGUAAAGCACUUUCAGUAGGGAGGAAGGUAGUGUAGUUAACACCUGCAUAUUUGACGUUACCUACAGAAGAAGCACCGGCUAACUCCGUGCCAGCAGCCGCGGUAAUACGGAGGGGUGCGAGCGUUAAUCGGAAUUACUGGGCGUAAAGCGCAUGCAGGCGGCCUGUUAAGUCAGAUGUGAAAGCCCGGGGGCUUAACCUCGGAAUUGCAUUUGAAACUGGCAGGCUAGAGUCUUGUAGAGGGGGUAGAAUUUCAGGUGUAGCGGUGAAAUGCGUAGAGAUCUGAAGGAAUACCAGUGGCGAAGGCGGCCCCCUGGACAAAGACUGACGCUCAGAUGCGAAAGCGUGGGGAGCAAACAGGAUUAGAUACCCUGGUAGACUGUCA